Molecule: long non-coding RNA, 342 nt
Organism: Mauremys reevesii (Reeves's turtle)
Lineage: Eukaryota; Metazoa; Chordata; Testudines; Geoemydidae
Exons: 5
Source: RefSeq, a predicted model, not a curated record
CCCUCACCACGCGGCUCUGAGCAGGACUGAGCUCAGGCCCCGCCGGUGACGCGCUCGAUUGCAAACUCUCCAGGACAGGGAGAGUUACUAAGCAUUACGUACACCAGCUACUACAAUGAGAUUCUGACCUUGGUUGGGGCCUCUAGGUGCUACUGGAAGAAUGGCAGAACUCCUUAACAUAAUACUACAGUUUAGUUGUGGUAUAACAGCAUAAGAAAUCCCAGAGGAAUUCUUCAAGCAAGUUUUUAGCCAUUGAUUCAUGUUAUGCCAUUCUCCAUCAGAUUGAAGAAACCUUUAGUGGCUGGAAUAUUCUGCCCAUAAAGAUUAAAGAAGACUUCAGGG